RNAcentral lists this ribosomal RNA (330 nucleotides) under uncultured eukaryote. RNAcentral describes it as "partial 18S ribosomal RNA". It matches the Rfam family "Eukaryotic small subunit ribosomal RNA", at positions 1470 to 1796 of the family's 1831-position model. The record is from RNAcentral.
CCCUUAGAUGUUCUGGGCCGCACGCGCGCUACACUGACUGGUGCAACAAGUGUCUGACCUUGGCUCGAGAGGCCUGGGCAACCUUUGAACGCCAGUCGUGCUGGGGAUAGAUUCUUGCAAUUAUUAAUCUUCAACGAGGAAUUCCUAGUAAACGCAAGUCAUCAGCUUGCAUUGAUUACGUCCCUGCCCUUUGUACACACCGCCCGUCGCACCUACCGAUUGAAUGGUCCGGUGAAUCUUUAGGACUGUGGCUGAGGCCUUGCCUUGUGCGGGUCUGGCCGUGGGAAUUUAGUUAAACCUUACCAUUUAGAGGAAGGUGAAGUCGUAACA